UAGGGAAUCUUCGGCAAUGGACGCAAGUCUGACCGAGCAACGCCGCGUGAGUGAAGAAGGUUUUCGGAUCGUAAAACUCUGUUGUUAGAGAAGAACAAGGAUGAGAGUAGAAUGUUCAUCCCUUGACGGUAUCUAACCAGAAAGCCACGGCUAACUACGUGCCAGCAGCCGCGGUAAUACGUAGGUGGCAAGCGUUGUCCGGAUUUAUUGGGCGUAAAGCGAGCGCAGGCGGUUUCUUAAGUCUGAUGUGAAAGCCCCCGGCUCAACCGGGGAGGGUCAUUGGAAACUGGGAAACUUGAGUGCAGAAGAGGAGAGUGGAAUUCCAUGUGUAGCGGUGAAAUGCGUAGAUAUAUGGGGGAACACCAGUGGCGAAGGCGGCUCUCUGGUCUGUAACUGACGCUGAGGCUCGAAAGCGUGGGGAGCAAACAGG
This 430-nucleotide ribosomal RNA is filed under the name Fusobacteriota bacterium. Its description in RNAcentral is "Fusobacteria bacterium partial 16S ribosomal RNA". It matches the Rfam family "Bacterial small subunit ribosomal RNA", at positions 355 to 776 of the family's 1533-position model. The record is from RNAcentral. Lineage: Bacteria; Fusobacteriati; Fusobacteriota.